This 251-nucleotide ribosomal RNA is filed under the name uncultured bacterium. RNAcentral describes it as "partial 16S ribosomal RNA". It matches the Rfam family "Bacterial small subunit ribosomal RNA", at positions 524 to 773 of the family's 1533-position model. The record is from RNAcentral.
GACGAAGGUGGCGACCGUUGUUCGGAAUCACUGGGCAUAAAGCGCACGUAGGCGGUGCAGAAAGUCGGGUGUGAAAGCCCUCGGCCCAAUCGAGGAAUUGCGCCCGAAACUACUGUGCUUGAGGGCGGGAGGGGAGCUGUGGAAUUCCUGGUGGAGCGGUGAAAUGCGUUGAUAUCAGGAGGAACACCGGUGGCGAAGGCGAUGCUCUGGUCCGCUUCUGACGCUGAGGUGCGAAAGCCAGGGGAGCAAAC